UACGAGGGGGGCGAGCGUUGCUCGGAAUUAUUGGGCGUAAAGGGUGCGUAGGCGGUUUGGUAAGUCUGAUGUGAAAUCUAUGGGCUCAACUCAUAGUCUGCAUCGGAAACUGCCGGGCUUGAGUAUGGGAGAGGUGAGUGGAAUUCCUGGUGUAACGGUGAAAUGCGUAGAUAUCAGGAGGAACACCUGUGGCGAAAGCGGCUCACUGGACCGCAACUGACGCUGAGGCGCGAAAGCUAGGGGAGCAAACAGG
Molecule: ribosomal RNA, 253 nt
Filed under: uncultured bacterium
Lineage: Bacteria
Description: partial 16S ribosomal RNA
Rfam family: Bacterial small subunit ribosomal RNA
Source: RNAcentral